Molecule: long non-coding RNA, 351 nt
Organism: Hippocampus zosterae (dwarf seahorse)
Lineage: Eukaryota; Metazoa; Chordata; Actinopteri; Syngnathiformes; Syngnathidae
Exons: 3
Source: RefSeq, a predicted model, not a curated record
CGCGCAGGUGGUGAAGUACAGUAAUUUGAAAGGGACGCGGUGUAAUGAUUUACGACCCGUCAAAUGUGUUUUUUGUUGUUUGUUUUGUUGUGUUGGGUUCUUGUUGAGCUGUUGUGCGUUCACAAGAGUAUCCACGUUGGAGGAACCCCCAUCCUCGUUGAGUACGUUUUGGCUCAAGGAGGUCUUCCAUUUAAAGGUAAGUUGUUUAAUUAUGAAAUUUGCAUGUCAAGUACUGGCCUGCUGAUGGUCUUGAUGAUGCUCUCCAACUCAUCGUUGGAGGGCGGGUUGCGCCCGCCCAUCGGGAACACCAGGUUGAUGGGGUCAAAGAGGCGAGAGAGAGACUUGGACAGG